This 492-nucleotide ribosomal RNA is filed under the name uncultured bacterium. RNAcentral describes it as "partial 16S ribosomal RNA". It matches the Rfam family "Bacterial small subunit ribosomal RNA", at positions 29 to 507 of the family's 1533-position model. The record is from RNAcentral.
AGUGAACGCUGGCGGUAGGCCUAACACAUGCAAGUCGAACGGCAGCACAGUAAGAGCUUGCUCUUGCGGGUGGCGAGUGGCGGACGGGUGAGGAAUACAUCGGAAUCUACUUUUUCGUGGGGGAUAACGUAGGGAAACUUACGCUAAUACCGCAUACGACCUACGGGUGAAAGCAGGGGAUCUUCGGACCUUGCGCGAUUGAAUGAGCCGAUGUCGGAUUAGCUAGUUGGCGGGGUAAAGGCCCACCAAGGCGACGAUCCGUAGCUGGUCUGAGAGGAUGAUCCGCCAGACUGGAACUGAGACACGGUCCAGACUCCUACGGGAGGCAGCAGUGGGGAAUAUUGGACAAUGGGCGCAAGCCUGAUCCAGCCAUACCGCGUGGGUGAAGAAGGCCUUCGGGUUGUAAAGCCCUUUUGUUGGGAAAGAAAAGCAGCUGGUUAAUACCCCGCUGUUCUGACGGUACCCAAAGAAUAAGCACCGGCUAACUUCGUG